CCCCCCCUCCCCUCUUUUCCCUUUUCCCUUUUCCCGCCUCCUUCCCUCAUUUCCCCCCCCUUCAUCCCAUGGACAUGGCACGGCCACCUUAAAACGCCGCGCCGCCCCCCUCCUCCCCCGAUCGCCGGGGCCGGUAUGAGUCAGGUGUGAAGCCCCCGCCGGGAGGAGGUCGUUCCCCUCACUGGCUGCAGCCCUGACGCUGGGAUUUUCCUUUUUUUGGCUUUUUUUUUUUUUUUUCGGCCCCACCACCUCCCUCCUUCCCUCCCUCGCUCCCUCCCUCCAGGAAUCCAGCGCUGCACCGAAGCCAGAAGAGAGGGAGCAAAACCCAGCCCAGGCCGAGAGCUGCGUCCAGAAACCAAACCCGCCCUUCGCGUCGCAAAGGAGAAAUUUUUUUUUUUUAAUCAUUAUUAUUAUUAUUUUUAUUUUUAAUACCCCUGACCCGAGCACGGUGGCGGCAGCGGCGCCGGGGCAGGGAGGCUGUCCCGGUUAUUUAUUCUCUCCCCGCAGAGCUGUCCCUCCGGCUCACCAUGAUGUUCCGAGACCAGGUUGGCGUGCUGGCCGGGUGGUUCAAGGGCUGGAACGAGUGCGAGCAGACUGUUGCGCUGCUCUCCCUGCUCAAACGCGUCAGCCGGACCCAGGCUCGCUUCCUCCAGCUCUGCCUCGAGCAUUCCCUGGCAGACUGCACCGAGCUCCACAUCCUCGAAGGGGAGGCCAACAACCCCGGAAUCAUUAACCAGUGGCAGCAGGAAUCCAAGGACAAAGUGAUCUCCCUCUUGUUAACCCACCUGCCUUUACUGAAACCCGGCAACAUCGAGGCGAAAGUCGAGUACAUGAAACUCUUGCCCAAAAUCCUGGCGCACUCCAUCGAGCACAACCAGCACAUCGAGGAGAGCAGGCAGCUGCUCUCCUACGCCUUGAUACACCCUGCCACCUCCCUGGAGGACAGGAGCGCCCUGGCCAUGUGGCUCAACCACCUGGAGGACCGCGCGUCGUCGUCGUCGUCGUCGUCGUCGUCGGGCUUUGGCGGGCAGGGCCGCGGCCGCUCGGACUCGGUGGACUACGGGCAGGCUCACUACUAUCACCAAAGACAGAACUCCGACGACAAACUCAACGGGUGGCAGAACUCCAGGGACUCCGGCAUCAGCGUCAGCGCCUCCAGCUGGCAGGACAAAAGCCUGGCCUGUGAGAACGGCCACCUGCCCCUCUACUCCUCCUCCUCCGUCCCCACCACCAUCAACACCAUCGGCACUAGCACAAGCACCAUUCUCUCAGGCCAGACACACCACAGCCCUUUGAAACGCUCUGUGUCCCUUACCCCACCCAUGAAUGUGCCAAACCAACCUCUAGGACAUGGAUGGAUGUCUCAUGAGGACUUACGAGCUAGAGGACCCCAGUGCAUCCCUUCCGAUCAUGCCCCCCUGUCUCCACAAAGCAGUGUAGCCUCUUCGGGAAGUGGUGGGAGUGAACAUUUAGAAGAUCAGCCUUCUGCUCGUAACACAUUCCAGGAGGAAGGGAGUGGGAUGAAAGAUGUCCCAGCCUGGCUGAAGAGCCUCCGGCUGCACAAGUACGCCGCCCUCUUCUCCCAGAUGACGUACGAGGAGAUGAUGGCCCUCACUGAAUGCCAGCUCGAGGCACAAAAUGUUACCAAAGGCGCAAGACACAAAAUAGUCAUCAGUAUCCAAAAGCUAAAAGAAAGACAAAACCUGCUCAAAUCUCUAGAAGGAGACAUCCUGGAAGGUGGCAACUUGCGUGUCCCGCUGCAGGAGCUACACCAAAUGAUCCUCACCCCCAUCAAAGCCUACUCCUCCCAGAACUCGAGCACGGAGGAGCACAGCCGGGACGUGGAGUCGCACCAGCCCUCCUCCCUGCUGGGCUCGGACAGCCAAGGCUCGGACUGCAAGGACGCCGCGGCCGCCGGGAUGCAGCAGCACCAUCUCCCGGGAUGCGAGGGCGAGUCGGGAGGAGCCCCUUUGCCCGAGGGAGACCUGCCCGGGCAGUUCACCCGAGUGAUGGGGAAAGUCUGCACACAACUUUUAGUUUCCCGACCCGAUGAAGAGAAUAUAAGUUCCUAUUUACAGCUCAUAGACAAAUGUCUAAUCCACGAGGCGUUUACAGAGAUCCAGAAGAAGCGGCUGCUGUCAUGGAAACAGCAGGUGCAGAAACUCUUUCGGUCUUUCCCUCGGAAAUCCCUCCUGGAGCUGUCGGGCUAUCGGCAGCAGAGGAGCCGAGGCUUUGGCCAGUCCAACUCCCUGCCGACCGCCGGAUCCGCGGGGGCAGGGCUGGCACGGAGGAACCCCCGGCAGUUCCAGAUCCCCUCCCGCAACCUCCCCACGGCCCGGCUGGGGCUGCUGGGCCCCACGGGGCUGCUGGGCACCCCCCAGCGCAGCCCUGCCGCCAGCCCCGCCAUCCUCAAGCAAGGCAGACAGAACCUGUGGUUUGCCAACCCUGGGGGCAGUAACAGCAUGCCCAGCCGGAGCCACAGCUCGGUGCAGAGGACGCGCUCGCUGCCGGUCCACACGUCCCCGCAGACCAUGCUGAUGUUUCAGCAGCCAGAGUUCCAGGUACCGGUGACUGAACCUGACAUCAACAACAGGCUGGAGUCCCUGUGCCUGAGCAUGACGGAGCACGCACUCAGCGGUGAGCAUUCCCUCCUCCUGGGGCUCUUCCAGCACGUCCACGCCACCUCUGCUGAGCCCCCCAGCACCUGCCCCGUGCCCCCCAAAAGCUGGGACAGGCUGUGGCUGUGAGAGCAGGACGGCGGCGGGGCCGGACGCAGGGAUGCUCCCGGGGGUGUUCCGAUGGGAAUGUUGGCUUCUCUCAGCGAGGCGGCCGGGGCAGGGGGCAAAGCCGAACGCAGGGAUCGCACCAGCACUAGUGGAGUCCGUGCUAAUUAGCCACUCUUCAGCUUGCUAAUGAUAAUUAGUGUUAGCUCGCUACUCUCGUUAGCUCUCGAUAAAGCCCCUGCUGCCGGCGCUCGGAUGGGUCACAGCCUUUGGAGCGUUGUGCCCUUCCGCCUCCGGAUCCCACCAGGGGUGCCCACAGCUGGGGGCUGAAUCCCUGCCAGGCGCUGUGCCAGGGGCUGUGCCGGGCGCCGUGCCCUGGAGCUGGCAGUGCUCACACGGCCGGGGGUGCCAGCGGAGAGCGGGCACGGGGAGGGAGGAGGAGCGGGGCAAAAACAAGCAGGGAAGAUGAAACGGCAGCAGCAGCAGAGCAGUGGAGAGCCCAGUGCAGCACAGAGCACCGGUGUCACCAGAAGCUCCCGGUGUCCCCUGCCGACGCUCUGGAGCCCCAGGCACGCGGGAUGGCCCCGGCGAUGGGAUGAGCGCGGCCGCCGGCAUCGCCCGGAGUCCCCAGUGACCAGCUCGGGUCCUGCUGCGGAAUCCUGGACUGUGACCCAUGGCUGAGGACAGGAGCCCUCGGAGAGGACCAGUGCCACCAGGCUCCCUGCAGAUGCAACAGCCCUUCCUGGGGAGAGGAACGGGAGAACAAGGACUGUGGGAAGCAGCAGGGCCCUGGCAGCAUCCCUGGCUGGGAAAACAAGGACACUUCUGUCACCCGAAGCGUUUCUCCGGCGUGUGCCCAGCCGAGGCUUAGCUGUCUUGUUCCUCUGCAGGAUGGUGUCGACAGAACCUCCACGAUCUAGAAGGCGUCGCCACGGGGACGCUGGCCGGGACAACAACUGCUGCAGGUCCAGCGGCGAGGUCGGGGCUUGAGGGAGCCUCAGCGAUAGCUUGCAUCCCUUCUCCUCUCUCCUCUCCUCUCUCUCUCUCUCUCUCUCUCCUGUUUUAAUUUUGUGAAUGUGUAGAUUGUCCUUGUGAACAUAUCAUUAGACUUGGAAUUUGUGUUGUCAUUUAUUACAUCCAUGCUAAGGGGGGGGGAAAAGAUGGCAAAAAAAAAAAAAAAUCAAAAUCUCAGCGACGAUGGUGAAGCAGCACGGGGAGCUUGGGGCAGACAUGGAGGAGGAGGAGGAGGAGGAGAGUGCUGACAACGGAGGGUUCGCCGUGGGCAAACCCUGCUCCUGGAGGAGGAUGCCAAGGAGCACGGAACACCACGUGGGGGUGUGUGACCAAAAACCCUUUGGGGAGGAUUCGCCUGCCCUGCCCGGGGCCUUCGGGGCCGGCAGUCCCAUCUCGAGUUUCGCUGCUCUCGGCUGCAGGCUGACCCGGCGGGCCCAGAUUGAAACAGAAAUAAUAAAAUAACCCCAAAGUUUCCUUUCAGUUUAGCCAAGAGAUCUGCAGUGUGGAGGCAGCGUGGUGCUCAGGGCAGUGGAGGGUGCCUGUCCCUGUGCCCCGCUUGGAUUGGGAUGCGGGAUGGAGCGGGGGCAUCUCGCCCAGAGGAGGGUCCCAGGGGGAAUCUGGGAACUGGGGGACACUGGGAGAGUUUCCUGCAUCCUGGCUCCACACAUCUGGCCCAGCCUGCCCAAAUCCAGCCGUAAGGGGCUUUUCCAGCAUGGCCAAUGAGGGAUGAAGGAGCCCCCAAAUAAAACCCAAGUCACAAAGGGCACCAAAAUGCAGCUUCACAGCCUUGUUUUCUUGGCAUUAACCGUGGGGCUGGCAGGGGCUGGGCUGCCCCUCACCCACUGCUGCUUUUGAUAACAGGACCUAAAUUUGGUGUUAAAUUGGUAAAUCUGACCCAGCACUGCUCUGACCUGCAGUGAUGCUCCUGCCGCUCCCGAUCCUGCUCCGAGUCCUCCAAUGAAAUAAUAACAAAUAUAAAAUCAAUUGGUUGAGCUAUGGGUGGCAGCAAUAUUUCCAGAAUGGGCUGUGAGAACACGGGCAGCAUCGUGUGCCAGGAUUAGGGGGAGCCAGAGCAUGGGCAGGGCUGGGAGACGUGUGAAUCCUUUUGUCAUGCAGCGUUUUUAAGUUGUUUUUCUAAAAAAAAAAGAAAUAUAUAUAUAUAUAUGUAUACAGAAACCCAAGUGCCAAAUGCAAUGUUUUAUGUUUGCUGUUCCUUGGUGUCCUGCUUCCCGGCAGACAGGAGGUUGAGGGGGGUGAUGGGGAGGGUGGAGAAGGGAAAACCUGAAGGCCAGGGAGGUUGGGAAGAGGUGUGAGGAGGUGAAGGAGAAGCGGGGUCGGCGCUGGGGACCUGGGUCACCCCCCAGCACCCCCAGCUUGUGAGGUGUGAGCAGAGCCACCGUGGCAGGAGCCUCCCUCAGGGAGACUCCAGUGUAUUUACAGAGCUGAAAUUCUAUUUAUUCCUUCGCUGACUAUGGACACGGAGGUUUUCUGAUUGUUCAGAGAGAUUAUUUUGGAUAUUUUACCUAUUAACUUGCUGUGGCUGGGAACCAUGAUAAUGUCUGUUAUUAACAACCACCAAAUAAUUCAAUUGUUUUAUCCUUUUGAUGUUAAAAAAAAAAAAAAAGAGAAAAAGCUUAUUUUCCAUUGACAGUCUAGAGGUUAAUAACGACUUAGUUGCGUUUGCUGUUUCUUGUUUUGUUUUUUGAGUAAAAACAACAAAAAAAGUGGCUUCAGUUGUGUUCGGGAAGUGCUGCUGGCUCUGGCUGCCGGUGCCAAGUGCGGGCAGCAGAGCUCCAGGGAAAGAAGCUUAAAAGGGUGGGGGGGAAAAAAAAGCUUGAAUCCUAAAAGAAAUAAAAGCUAUUUAUAGAAAGAAAGAAAAAAAAAUCCUCCAACAGUUGCACGAGUGAGGCUGUGAAGUCAAAUAUUCAGUAAUAAAGCGGCAGUGCCUUUCUUUUUGUAUCCGCUGCGACUGUCCCCUCCUGUCCUGCCGGAGAUGUCGCCGCCGCGGGGUCCCGGGGGUCGGCUGGGCAAGUCCCCCCAUCCCGCUGCUCUCCCGGCUCCAGCCCCGGGCCCCGGGACCUUUUCCUGGUGCUGUUCCCCCGAGCCGGCCCCGGGGAGCCCGGCCAGCCCGGCGCGCACCUCGGGGACACGAGCCUGUCCCUUCGGUGCCAUCCCCAGGGACACCCCGAGCUCAGCUCAGCAAAACCCUCCAAGGGGUUUAGGGGUGGCAGCAUCCAGCAGGAAAAUCCCAAACUGUGAUGGGGGUCAGCGCUUAGGGGAAGGAUUUCUGUUGUCGCCUUUCUCCAUGUCGGGUUUGGCUUUGGGAAUGUGCCUGGUGGAAACAGGUCCCGCAGACGUCUAUAAUUUGCACACAGCGACGAUAACACUAAAGUUGAUUUUAUACGAGUCAUCAAGAGUUUGCAAAGUGAGUUUUAUUUUUUGUAUUCCUUUAUCUUUACUUAAAGGUGAAUGUGUAUUCCUCUGGGAGGAAUAGGAAGAAAAAAAAAAAAAAAAAGAAAAAUACAUAAAAAAACAGGAAUGUUAAUAAUGUUAAACAGAAUACUUCCUCCCUUAUUAAUAUAUAUAACCCUGAUGUAUUUAUGCCUAUUGUAAGCUGACUUUAAAGAGCUUUGACCUCUCUUCUGUUGCAUGCCGUUCCCGGGCAGCCUCUCCUUGUCCAUGCAUGCCUUUUGUCCUGGUUUUUCUGUACAAAGUUAGUGCACAAAAGAACUAUUUUUGCCUAGUUAAUGUUGCCGAGCAAUGCCUAUUUUUUAAAUUUUAAUUCCUUUUUUUUUUUUUUUUUUGGUCAUAUACGGCAAUAGCAUGUUUGUUACAUGUAAAAGCUUCCCGAUAUAAAGAAAUACUAAUGUUUGGAGAUGCCAGUCUUUGCAAGUGUACAGUUUUCCAAUGUUGUUCCCAGUGAAACACCCUCGUGAUUUCCACUUGCUCCGAUGUAUUUAUUACUCAUUUCCUCCCGUGUAACUAGGAACCAUGGCUAUAUUUCAUAUCUGCUCUAUAUUGAAAGUGAAGGGAGAUGAUUAAUACAAGGUUUUGUAACA
RNA transcript from Pyrgilauda ruficollis (rufous-necked snowfinch), 6796 nucleotides. It is a transcript of the gene named sterile alpha motif domain containing 4A, with no coding region annotated. The transcript has 13 exons. NCBI's taxonomy places the organism in Eukaryota, Metazoa, Chordata, Aves, Passeriformes, Passeridae. The record is from RefSeq and is a predicted model, not a curated record.